GGUGGUAUGGCCCAGCCUGUCCCCGCGCGCGCUGCCGCGUGCCUGCCAUCCAUGGCUUGACCUUGGCAAUGCGCGGAUCUGUUUGCGAAUUAUUCGCGGUUCAUCAACAUGGGAGGGAGGAGGGGGGCAAAAUUGCGGCACGCGCAUGAGUGGCCGAUGUUUCGAACCGUGCCACGCUCAGAUUGUUUUAUUUGACCUGACCAACAUCGCAACUGACCUAGGCACUCGGCGGCGCCACCCAGCGCCGAAAGUAGCGCAUCUCG
Caenorhabditis elegans is the source of this 263-nucleotide non-coding RNA. The record is from Ensembl. Lineage: Eukaryota; Metazoa; Nematoda; Chromadorea; Rhabditida; Rhabditidae.